Molecule: long non-coding RNA, 321 nt
Organism: Diabrotica virgifera virgifera (western corn rootworm)
Lineage: Eukaryota; Metazoa; Arthropoda; Insecta; Coleoptera; Chrysomelidae
Exons: 3
Source: RefSeq, a predicted model, not a curated record
AAACAAAUCUCACACUUGUGAGGUUUUUCUCCAUUGUGCACUCUCAAAUGUACUUUCAAAUUAUGUGCUUGAACAAAUUGCUUGAAACAAAUUUCACACUUGUAAGGUUUUUCUCCAUUGUGCACUCUCAAAUGUACUUUCAAAUUAUGUGCUUGAACAAAUUGCUUGAAACAAAUUUCACACUUGUAAGGUUUUUCUCCAUUGUGCACUCUCAAAUGUACUUUCAAAUUAUGUGCUUGAACAAAUUGCUUGAAACAAAUUUCACACUUGUAAGGUUUUUCUCCUGUAUGUGUUUUCACAUGUCUUUUCAAAACCCCCGAG